GGCCUGAUAGCUCAGUCGGUAGAGCAGAGGAUUGAAAAUCCUCGUGUCGGUGGUUCGAUUCCACCUCGGGCCACCA
RNAcentral lists this transfer RNA (76 nucleotides) under Gammaproteobacteria bacterium. Its description in RNAcentral is "tRNA-Phe". It matches the Rfam family "tRNA". From Rfam's summary of the family: Transfer RNA (tRNA) molecules are approximately 80 nucleotides in length. Their secondary structure includes four short double-helical elements and three loops (D, anti-codon, and T loops). Lineage: Bacteria; Pseudomonadati; Pseudomonadota; Gammaproteobacteria. The record is from RNAcentral.